GAUGAACGCUGGCGGCGUGCCUAAUACAUGCAAGUCGAGCGAACGGACGAGGAGCUUGCUCCUUUGACGUUAGCGGCGGACGGGUGAGUAACACGUGGAUAACCUACCUAUAAGACUGGGAUAACUUCGGGAAACCGGAGCUAAUAUCGGAUAAUAUAUUGAACCGCAUGGUUCAAUAGUGAAAGACGGUUUUGCUGUCACUUAUAGAUGGAUCCGCGCCGCAUUAGCUAGUUGGUACGGUAACGGCUUACCAAGGCAACGAUGCGUAGCCGACCUGAGAGGGUGAUCGGCCACACUGGAACUGAGACACGGUCCAGACUCCUACGGGAGGCAGCAGUAGGGAAUCUUCCGCAAUGGGCGAAAGCCUGACGGAGCAACGCCGCGUGAGUGAUGAAGGUCUUCGGAUCGUAAAACUCUGUUAUUAGGGAGGAACAAAUGUGUAAGUAACUAUGCACGUCUUGACGGUACCUAAUCAGAAAGCCACGGCUAACUACGUG
RNAcentral lists this ribosomal RNA (497 nucleotides) under uncultured bacterium. Its description in RNAcentral is "partial 16S ribosomal RNA". It matches the Rfam family "Bacterial small subunit ribosomal RNA", at positions 28 to 507 of the family's 1533-position model. The record is from RNAcentral.